AAAGGUACCAAGAGGGUGCAUUUUGUGAGGAACUUGAUCAGGGAGGUCGCUGGGUUUGCCCCGUAUGAGAAGCGUAUCACUGAGCUUCUCAAGGUUGGCAAGGACAAGCGUGCCCGGAAGGUGGCGAAGCAAAAGUUGGGUACCCACAAGAGGGCGAAGAAGAAGAGAGAGGAGAUGUCCAGUGUCCUCAGGAAGAUGAGGUGUGUAAAAUUUGGGCAGUUCUGGAACUAA
Molecule: ribosomal RNA, 231 nt
Filed under: Triticum aestivum (bread wheat)
Lineage: Eukaryota; Viridiplantae; Streptophyta; Magnoliopsida; Poales; Poaceae
Description: partial small subunit ribosomal RNA
Source: RNAcentral